Molecule: ribosomal RNA, 468 nt
Filed under: uncultured bacterium
Lineage: Bacteria
Description: partial 16S ribosomal RNA
Rfam family: Bacterial small subunit ribosomal RNA
Source: RNAcentral
GACGAACGCUGGCGGCGUGCUUAACACAUGCAAGUCGAACGGAAAGGCCCUGCUUUUGUGGGGUGCUCGAGUGGCGAACGGGUGAGUAACACGUGAGUAACCUGCCCUUGACUUUGGGAUAACUUCAGGAAACUGGGGCUAAUACCGGAUAGGAGCUCCUGCUGCAUGGUGGGGGUUGGAAAGUUUCGGCGGUUGGGGAUGGACUCGCGGCUUAUCAGCUUGUUGGUGGGGUAGUGGCUUACCAAGGCUUUGACGGGUAGCCGGCCUGAGAGGGUGACCGGCCACAUUGGGACUGAGAUACGACCCAGACUCCUACGGGAGGCAGCAGUGGGGAAUAUUGCACAAUGGGCGGAAGCCUGAUGCAGCAACGCCGCGUGCGGGAUGACUGCCUUCGGGUUGUAGACCGCUUUCGCCUGUGACGAAGCGUGAAUGACGGUAAUGGGUAAAGAAGCACCGGCUAACUACGUG